RNAcentral lists this ribosomal RNA (464 nucleotides) under uncultured soil bacterium. RNAcentral's name for it is "bacterial SSU rRNA". It matches the Rfam family "Bacterial small subunit ribosomal RNA", at positions 94 to 596 of the family's 1533-position model. The record is from RNAcentral.
AGUGGCGGACGGGUGAGUAAUGUGUAGGUAAUCUACCUCCAAGUUGGGAAUAACCCUUCGAAAGGAGGGCUAAUACCGAAUACGAUCCGCGAAUGGAAAGAUGCGCUUGGAGAUGAGCCUACAUCCCAUUAGCUAGUUGGCAGGGUAAAAGCCUACCAAGGCGAUGAUGGGUAGCUGGUCUGAGAGGACGACCAGCCACACUGGCACUGAGACACGGGCCAGACUCCUACGGGAGGCAGCAGUGAGGAAUAUUGCGCAAUGGGCGAAAGCCUGACGCAGCGACGCCGCGUGAGGGAUGAAGGUCUUCGGAUUGUAAACCUCUUUCGAUUGGGAAGAAUGACGGUACCAGGAGAAGAAGCCACGGCUAACUCUGUGCCAGCAGCCGCGGUAAGACAGAGGUGGCAAGCGUUGUUCGGAUUUACUGGGCGUAAAGCGUACGUAGGUGGUUGAAUAAGUCCAUCGUG